GACGAACGCUGGCGGCGUGCUUAACACAUGCAAGUCGAACGGGAAGGCCUCUUUCGGGGGGUACUCGAGUGGCGAACGGGUGAGUAACACGUGAGUAACCUGCCCUUGACUUUGGGAUAACUUCAGGAAACUGGGGCUAAUACCGGAUAGGAGCUCCUGCUGCAUGGUGGGGGUUGGAAAGUUUCGGCGGUUGGGGAUGGACUCGCGGGUUAUCAGCUUGUUGGUGGGGUAGUGGCUUACCAAGGCUUUGACGGGUAGCCGGCCUGAGAGGGUGACCGGCCACAUUGGGACUGAGAUACGGCCCAGACUCCUACGGGAGGCAGCAGUGGGGAAGAUUGCACAAUGGGUGGAAGCCUGAUGCAGCAACGCCGUGUGCGGGAUGACGGCCUUCGGGUUGUAAACCGCUUUCGCUCAUGACGAAGCUUUGUGUGACGGUAGUGGGUAAAGAAGCACCGGCUAACUACGUG
RNAcentral lists this ribosomal RNA (467 nucleotides) under uncultured bacterium. Its description in RNAcentral is "partial 16S ribosomal RNA". It matches the Rfam family "Bacterial small subunit ribosomal RNA", at positions 28 to 507 of the family's 1533-position model. The record is from RNAcentral.